CUUCUAAUGGGUACACUGCAGAGCCGAUUGGAUGCAGAAUUCCUUCUACCUCAUAUGUGCUCUGUAAAAUUCAAAGACUGAAUAGUGGUUAUGGCAACUCUUUUUAGAUGAUCUAAGGUAUAAUGCCCAAUUAUUGCUUUUGCUUUAUCUGUUUUACCUUGCAACAUUUUGAAAUUUAUGAGAAGCAUAAAAUUACUGAGCCAAAAUUGAGGAUCUGAACUUUCGUAAAAAUAUUUGUAUUUUUAAAUUAUAAAAUAUUGCAUUUGAUGCUUUAGGUGGAACUUAGUUCACUACAGAAAGGAAAAUUAUGUUGGGCAUAACCAGAUGUUUUUCAAGAGAAAAUUUCACUGAUAUUUUUCUGAGGAUUUUACUUGGCCAUCUUAUUUCAAGCUGCUUGAAUUUUUUCUUUAUAUCAUCUUGGUUGUAUACUAUAACUCGUUGAAUUUGCUAGCACUUUUGCUAGUUGUUUAUUCUAUAUGUGAUUGUGGUGGUAAAGUUUGGAAGUUGUUUUUCUUAAUAACUCCAAUUAACUUGAAGUUGUUACCUGAUUUAUUAUGACAGUGUGCAUUACGAUAAGUAUCCUUGCAUAUUAAGAUUUUCCUUCCAGAUCUUUGCGGUACUUUUUGAUCUUUUCCGACAUGAUAUGCGAUUAUGGGAAGCAUAUGCCAUCACCUUACAGGUAUUCUCUUAAUUUUUAGAUAGUGCUCAAGAUGACAUUCAAGUUGGCUAUUAUUGGGUGCAAGAUUUACCAUGCUCUUAUUUUGCUUUUUUAGUCUAACCCGAUAUUUGCUUAAUACCAUGAUCUGCUUCAAGCCUUGGAUGAAAAACUUUCAUUUUUUGUAUAUUCUGCAAUGAGAUGAAGGUAGUUUUUGUGAUGAUAUUUGGCAGUAAAUUGGGACUAACUAAAGUAAUUUUCUUAAUGGCAUGUCUACUUCUCAGAUGAAUGACCGUCUGUUCAGACUCCCAAGUGAUGAAUUAACAACCACCGAUCUAUUCUGGGUGAAGAUGAUGACGUUGACACCAAGCCAGUGGAAUGACUAGGACUUCCCUUUUGUUNNNNN
Molecule: long non-coding RNA, 1061 nt
Filed under: Citrus sinensis (sweet orange)
Lineage: Eukaryota; Viridiplantae; Streptophyta; Magnoliopsida; Sapindales; Rutaceae
Description: long non-coding RNA (CSIN_LNC005545)
Source: RNAcentral